RNAcentral lists this ribosomal RNA (1033 nucleotides) under Janibacter anophelis. RNAcentral's name for it is "bacterial SSU rRNA". It matches the Rfam family "Bacterial small subunit ribosomal RNA", at positions 55 to 1089 of the family's 1533-position model. The record is from RNAcentral. Lineage: Bacteria; Bacillati; Actinomycetota; Actinomycetes; Micrococcales; Intrasporangiaceae.
CUGCAGUCGAACGGUGAAGCUCAAGCUUGCUUGGGUGGAUCAGUGGCGAACGGGUGAGUAACACGUGAGCAACCUGCCCCGGACUCUGGAAUAAGCGCUGGAAACGGCGUCUAAUACUGGAUAUGACACCAAUCCGCAUGGGUAUGGUGUGGAAAGUUUUUCGGUCUGGGAUGGGCUCGCGGCCUAUCAGCUUGUUGGUGAGGUAAUGGCUCACCAAGGCGACGACGGGUAGCCGGCCUGAGAGGGCGACCGGCCACACUGGGACUGAGACACGGCCCAGACUCCUACGGGAGGCAGCAGUGGGGAAUAUUGCACAAUGGGCGAAAGCCUGAUGCAGCGACGCCGCGUGAGGGAUGACGGCCUUCGGGUUGUAAACCUCUUUCAGCAGGGAAGAAGCGAAAGUGACGGUACCUGCAGAAGAAGCACCGGCUAACUACGUGCCAGCAGCCGCGGUAAUACGUAGGGUGCGAGCGUUGUCCGGAAUUAUUGGGCGUAAAGAGCUUGUAGGCGGUUUGUCGCGUCUGCUGUGAAAAUCCGGGGCUCAACCCCGGACUUGCAGUGGGUACGGGCAGACUAGAGUGUGGUAGGGGAGACUGGAAUUCCUGGUGUAGCGGUGAAAUGCGCAGAUAUCAGGAGGAACACCGAUGGCGAAGGCAGGUCUCUGGGCCACUACUGACGCUGAGAAGCGAAAGCAUGGGGAGCGAACAGGAUUAGAUACCCUGGUAGUCCAUGCCGUAAACGUUGGGCGCUAGGUGUGGGACUCAUUCCACGAGUUCCGUGCCGCAGCUAACGCAUUAAGCGCCCCGCCUGGGGAGUACGGCCGCAAGGCUAAAACUCAAAGGAAUUGACGGGGGCCCGCACAAGCGGCGGACAUGCGGAUUAAUUCGAUGCAACGCGAAGAACUUACAGGCUUGACUAUACCGAAACAUCCAGAGAUGGGUGCCCCUUUUAGGUGAUACGGGGCAUGCGUCAGCUCGCGGGAAUGGGUUAUCCCGAAGCCUCUCCUAUGGGGGGCUGAAUGGGACGAAAGGGG